UCCAGUGGUCGUGUUGUAUUUGCAGGCUGUUGGAACCAAAGAAUGGAGGGAGUUUGGCAGGACAGAGGUAAUCGAUAAUACUCGGAAUCCAGAUUUCGUCAGGAAGUUCGUCCUGGAUUUCUUUUUUGAAGAGAAACAAAAUCUAAGGUUUGAUGUGUACAAUGUGGACUCCAGAAGCUGUAACAUUUCCAAACAC
This is a long non-coding RNA of Gymnodraco acuticeps, 196 nucleotides long. RefSeq lists it as uncharacterized. The transcript is spliced from 3 exons. Lineage: Eukaryota; Metazoa; Chordata; Actinopteri; Perciformes; Bathydraconidae. The record is from RefSeq and is a predicted model, not a curated record.